UAGAAUGAACCGGCGAGUUACGAUCCCGUGCAAGGUUAAGCAGAAGAUGCGGAGCCGCAGCGAAAGCGAGUCUGAAUAGGGCGAAUUGAGUACGUGGUCGUAGACCCGAAACCAGGUGAUCUACCCAUGUCCAGGGUGAAGUUCAGGUAACACUGAAUGGAGGCCCGAACCCACGCACGUUGAAAAGUGCGGGGAUGAGGUGUGGGUAGGGGUGAAAUGCCAAUCGAACCUGGAGAUAGCUGGUUCUCUCCGAAAUAGCUUUAGGGCUAGCCUCAAGGUAAGAGUCUCGGAGGUAGAGCACUGAUUGGACUAGGGGCCCCUACCGGGUUACCGAAUUCAGUCAAACUCCGAAUGCCGAUGACUUAUCCUUGGGAGUCAGACUGCGAGUGAUAAGAUCCGUAGUCGAAAGGGAAACAGCCCAGACCGCCAGCUAAGGUCCCAAAGUAUACGUUAAGUGGAAAAGGAUGUGGAGUUGCUUAGACAACCAGGAUGUUGGCUUAGAAGCAGCCACCAUUUAAAGAGUGCGUAAUAGCUCACUGGUCGAGUGACUCUGCGCCGAAAAUGUACCGGGGCUAAACGUAUCACCGAAGCUGCGGACUGUUCUUCGAACAGUGGUAGGAGAGCGUUCUAAGGGCUGUGAAGCAAGACCGGAAGGACUUGUGGAGCGCUUAGAAGUGAGAAUGCCGGUAUGAGUAGCGAAAGAGGGGUGAGAAUCCCCUCCACCGAAUGCCUAAGGUUUCCUGAGGAAGGCUCGUCCGCUCAGGGUUAGUCGGGACCUAAGCCGAGGCCGAAAGGCGUAGGCGAUGGAUAACAGGUUGAUAUUCCUGUACCACCUCCUCACCAUUUGAGCAAUGGGGGGACGCAGGAGGAUAGGGUAAGCGCGGUAUUGGAUAUCCGCGUCCAAGCAGUUAGGCUGGGAAAUAGGCAAAUCCGUUUCCCGUGAAGGCUGAGCUGUGAUGGCGAGCGAAUUAUAGUAGCGAAGUUCCUGAUUCCACACUGCCAAGAAAAGCCUCUAGCGAGGUGAGAGGUGCCCGUACCGCAAACCGACACAGGUAGGCGAGGAGAGAAUCCUAAGGUGAUCGAGAGAACUCUCGUUAAGGAACUCGGCAAAAUGACCCCGUAACUUCGGGAGAAGGGGUGCUCUGUUAGGGUGCAAGCCCGAGAGAGCCGCAGUGAAUAGGCCCAGGCGACUGUUUAGCAAAAACACAGGUCUCUGCGAAGCCGUAAGGCGAAGUAUAGGGGCUGACGCCUGCCCGGUGCUGGAAGGUUAAGAGGAGCGCUUAGCGUAAGCGAAGGUGCGAAUUGAAGCC
This 1310-nucleotide ribosomal RNA is filed under the name Bacillus velezensis. RNAcentral's name for it is "partial 23S ribosomal RNA". It matches the Rfam family "Bacterial large subunit ribosomal RNA", at positions 611 to 1919 of the family's 2925-position model. The record is from RNAcentral. Lineage: Bacteria; Bacillati; Bacillota; Bacilli; Caryophanales; Bacillaceae.